Acanthaster planci (crown-of-thorns starfish) is the source of this 6970-nucleotide long non-coding RNA. RefSeq lists it as uncharacterized. The record is from RefSeq and is a predicted model, not a curated record. NCBI's taxonomy places the organism in Eukaryota, Metazoa, Echinodermata, Asteroidea, Valvatida, Acanthasteridae.
AGUAAUUGUAGGUUGGAAUGUACAUGCAGAAACUGCUAGGUAGCAUAGUGCGGUUGUACAGUGUACUACCUAUGUGACUCCAUUUUCAAGAGCAUCGCUUGCGUUCCUGCUAGAAAAUGUAGAAUCACACGGCCUGCACGCUUCACGAAAUUCGUUGUAGCUUGUUACUUUUCUGGUGUAAAUGUAACAAUUGGAACUUGGUGGUGUCAAGACAAAGUUGCUGACUGUUCUCCCCCAGAAAUAUCGAAUUUUACAUGCAUGUGGAAACAACAGUCGACAAAAUACAUUGCCCUUUCCGUAAGUUCUGUCACACGAGAAACUUCUGAUGUUGAGAAGCAACGAACACCGUGAGUGGAGUGCAGACACAAAGGGGUCAAAGAUGGCACCACCGAUGUCCAAGGGAUUGGCUGGCGUACCUGCUUGAACUCUCAUCGUCAAGACUGGAUGCACUCAUCUUAGAUUAGGCAAAUCCAUGGCAACAGCGUCUUAGCAAGUCUUUGUAACUUGUUUAGUGAACAGUUCUUAACUGAAAGUAUUGGCGUUUAAUGCUUUAUUCCUUUGUGAUAAAUGGGUUAUUCUAGCAUUGAACAAAUUAACCCAAUUUACACAAAACACACUUCAAAUAAUGGAGGCUUAUUGGCUUCGUUAAUUGCAUUGAAGACAACAGCAUUGAUUUAUCAACCACUCAAAUCCACUCUGUGAUUGAAACUAUUUGUUGCCAUGGAUUUGCUCAAACUCGGAACUACAUGUAUUACGCUAAGAGUUGAUUUUUUAAACCAGGCACAUGUAGUUUCAUGCCAAGAAAUUGGUCAAUAUACCUUGCUCUCACUGACCAAAUACGGGGUUAUUUCCAUGUACGUAGCCCUCUAUCUCCAUUUAGUUGAGAUGGUUCAAUUUUAGGACUUCUUUUUAAUUGAAGUGCAUUUUUAUUGUCCUGAUAAGCAUUGAAACUUGAAAUUCAAACAUGUGCCUGGUUCUUUUUUUUUUCUGAAACGGAUUAAUCAACGUGUGUGAAUGAACUUGAAAUCUACACCAGCACAUCAUAUUUGUUUGCUGUUUAACCCUCCGAUGCAAAGAUGCAUUCUUUACCCCUAUAAUGUCUCUGUACUUGUGGCAAUUCAAGUGGAAGGAAUUUGUGGCUGACUUACACAGCAAAAGAAAUUAAGGAGGAAGUUUACAGUGAAAUUAAAUUGUUGGAGCUGCGUAUAAAAUUUAUGCAUUACUUUUGUUUCACUUUAGUGCUUGAUUACAUGCAGCAUAAAUAAUGGAGAGAAAUACAUGGCACUUGUAAUCGCAAUCUGAAGUUAAAAUGUGUGACAUAAAAAGGCAAUGAAUUUCAGUAAGUUAUCAUAGAUGAAUAUGUACAUUGCAUGGUUUAGUCUAAAUUGUUUUACAUUUACAAAUAUUGCUCCUUGUACCAAAGACCUUUUGUCUAGCUUCUCUGCCAUUUCUUUUAUAUCCAUUUUUCUAUAUCUUUAGGCUCCUUUACACCAACUUAGUUAAUAGCUUUAAACCUUUUUUUCAUCAUAUAUGUAUGAUGUGCUGGUGUAGAUUGUCCUUGUGUUAAUUGCUGAAUUAAAAAUAUGUGUUUUAUGGCGUGUCUUUCGUGAUCAUUGUGCCUGCUGCCUAUUUUACAAGUUUGCAGAGCAAUUUGCCAUUGUCUUUAACAAAAACAAAUGAAAUACACCUGCUAUAGAUCUGCAGGAACCAGCCAAUUUCUUUCUAUUUCAUCCAUCACCAUGUUCAAUUAAAAAUAGUGCAGAAAUUAGCUAAAACAGGCAGCAGGCGUGUUCGUUCAAUUUGGUUUACUUAUUGCUUGGAGGGGGGGCAGAGUUGAAGGAGUUUCUUUUCUCUAAAUGCACACGACUGCACCACUGUUGAAUAAGAGCGCCCUCAAGCUAGGUGGAGUGUGCAUAUUGAAAGUAUCAGGUAAAGUGAAAGAGCGCCCUCAAUAAACUUAGUUUUUUGGUGCAGCGUGCAAGUUAGUUCAAAUGCCAGUUGAAGGACUGUUGGAUGAAAGGGUGCCCUCAAUCUCGUGUUACAGUUUUUUCUGCGCAUGUACUGAACUGCUGUUGAUGAGAGCGCCCUCAAGCUAGGUGGAGUGUGCAUGUUGAAAGUAAUCAUGUAAAGUGGAAGAGCGCCCUCAAUACACUUGGUUUUUUGGUGCAGUGUGCAAAUUAUUUUAAAUGCCAGUAGUUGAAGGACUCUUGAUGAAAGGGCGCCCUCAAUCUAUUUUGAAAUAAAAAUUUUUUAUUUGAACUUGAACUUGACUUUGAACUUGGUCUUGAACUUGACAUUGAACUUGAAAAGAGCGACCAAAAAAAAAGCACCCUAGCGCAUACAAGUCCCCCCUGGUGUGGGCCACGUGUUCCCCGCCCACAGACGCCAACAGGUCCAGUGAGUUGCCCACUGCAUUAACUCGCAAUCAGUUGUUCUUGAUGUAUACGAACUCUCCUGAUCAAAAAUGUCUAAGUUGACUGCAACAUAACAAGGAUCGCAUUAACUCCAACAACUAGUUUACUUUCUACGUAGUAGAUGUAUAUGUAUUUCUACAACUCCAAAACGAUUGCAAAUAAUGGUACAAUCUCACACCUAUGUGCAACUGCAUCACUUGGGUAUUUUCAGAAUGUUCCCAGUUGCAUUGCAGAAUUUGAUCUAAAUGAAAUAAAACAUUUACAACAUGGCUACGUUCUGCUGGUUUUCCCAAAUGUUUUGAAUAUCUGCUAGACUUUACGGCAGUAAUGAUGGUCCUGAACUUGUGACAAACUUCUCAAGUUAAACUCCUGAAACCAAGCCAUUUGUUUCACCUACAUGUUUCAUAACUUUCCAGAGUUUUCUCUGUCUCGGUAACUAAAUUACUUUUCAAAAUGAAAUGUGUGACCUCAUCUGCUGCUGAUCAUUUUUACAAGCCGCAGUUUCAAGGCCAAAUGACGGCAAAAAUUUGUUGCGAGUUUUUCAAGAAUGUUUUUGGGGGGUAGACAGUGAUAAAAUGUAUCAGAUAUAAAGACCUAUAAAGGGAAAAAAAUUAGUACUUCUCAAAAGCCAAAAAACUUUGGUUGGGAAGUAAUUUUUUAUUUCAUACACUGCUGUUCAUAUAAAGCACUGCCUUUUCGAUGUCUGAAGUAUAUAAAUUUGAGAAGUUCUGAUUUGAAAACAAUUCACCGACUAGUCAAAAGGCGCACAAAAUUGAGCCAUUACAAAAUCCUUUUCAUUGUCUCAAGCAAGGCAUUUAGUUUUCGGGGUUUUUGUAGAGCAUCUUCAUCAGGUUGUCAAGAUUUCUGAAUUUUCCAAAACUGCACAAGGAAAUAAGCCUUGUUAAAUAACGAUUCUAUUUUUUCAUCUGAGUUUGCACUUGUAGUUGUUUCUUUUUGCACUGACCUGAGCCCUUUUUGAUGUUCAAAAAUACUGCUAAAUGGUUAUCAGGUUGCCGCAGCAGCCAACGUUUAAUCAUUUGGUGAUCUUAUGUGUGACACAAGCAUUUUUUCAAACUUCCAAACAAAUGGGCAGAGUUUUUUUCUUUACUCGGUAGCCAAACUCUUCUCUACUCAAUGGAAGUGGUUUUUAUUCUAAACAUGUCCCAGUUUUUGUUGGGAAUGUUCCAGUUUUACGGGUUUUUUUGUCAGAUUGCAGAGCAAUCAAAAGUUGUUUUUCCCUUGCCCAACUUUUUUCAGUUGAAGUCCCAAUGUGCCCUCUUGAAUAUCCAUGUUCCUCUGAGCCUUGAUGGACGAUGAUGUAGCAAUCUGCCUGUUGGUAUCUGUAGAAACUAUGGCAUCUGAUGACACGGGGUUAGCCUGUCCUGUACUCCAUGCUAAAUUUACUUGAAGUUUUCAUCAAUUCAUGCACUUUACAAUUACAUCCUCAUGUAUUGCUCUCAUAAACCCUUACAAUCUCAUGGCAGUUUGGUGUACACUGGUCUACCUAAUCACAGAUAUUGCACAUGCUCACAUGCUAACCUAAACAGGGUCCAGAAAAAUCCACAACUGCCGCCACAGUAAGUCAAGAAAUGGCUGUUUCAUUGAAACUGUCAAGCGUGCACAUGACCAUGUAUGAACAAGCCUUAAACUCACUCAUUCAAUCUCAAUUUAGUUUCCAAAUGAACAAGUGCAUGUUACUUAGUCUGAGCACAAAGACCGAACAUUUGGUGACAGAACUGCACCGAUAUUACAACUCUCAAGAGUCCACAUUUUUGGCAUUGGACCAUUUUGUAAAAUGUAAUCCAUGCCUUUUCUGCGUGUAGAGUCAAGUUUUUGUGCCCAAAGUAAUGCCAUAUACAAAUGGUGGUUCUUUUUAAAGUGAGUCAUCAGUCUGUUCUGAGCCCUUUCAAAUUCGGCUCUUCAGCCUGGAUGGUGUUUAUUUUUAGUUUCCUUGGCAUGAAACAACUGAGACUACGCGAGUCGAUAGCAAUGACUGUAUUCUCAAAGCUCCCAACUGGAUUUGUGGAAACCCACUUUCAAGUAAUAAAGACGGUACAGGUACAAAGAAAGUGGCGACGUAUGCAAGAGGUACAGACCCUAGGGCUGGAAACUGAAUUCCAGGCAAAUACAUGUACUUGUUGUCGUAAUUAUACCUUUUGAAGUUUCACUGUCUCAACGGUAGUUUACUGAGAAAUGCACACAUGUGGUUCUUCUUUUUUUGCAUACCCAAAUGCAAGUGAUUUGUAUUAACAAGGACCAUGUGCAGAAUCGAAUACUCAGAUGCUAAAUUCACCAACUGCUAGUUUUGUUUUCUUUUUGACAACCAAGUCUAUCUGUGUUAUCAAGCAUCAGCAACUGCGGAUUUUCCCAGAGCCUGCUUAAGUUAUUUAAUUUGACAAAUAUCUACCGUAAAUCGCCUUUCAUUCCAUGGAAAAUUUAUAAAUCCUGAAAACACCCAAACAUCCUCUGUAGAAAAAGGAAGAUCCAAGCUAAACCAGAAAACUCAAAAGUCAGAAACAUGCCCUAAUUAAUUUAUAAAAUUUGUGAAGCUCAUCAAGACCACAUUGAUUAGUGGUACAAUUUCUUAUCGCAAUGAUAUUGAUGUUUACUCUUCUCGAAACAUACGUAUUUCAGCCAUUAAAAUUCAAGACAAAAAUCCUGUGUGAACGAACACAACGUAAUACAUUCCUAGAACUACUGCACAGAGAGUAAUGGCAUAUGUUAUGUGACCUAAUAUUUUCUAUCUAAAGAGUUGUUCAAAAUGAAGACGGUGUUUUCACUCGUGUCUCCUGCAAAACUGAUUCCUUCAUUCUUACAACAGUUGGUAGCAUUUUUUCAUGGUAAUGAACUAAAUGUACCCUACUUUGUACAAAGUGCCUACAUUGCACAAAGCCUUCUAUGUUCAAGACAUUUUUUCAUUGGAGGCCAGACUAGCGCCAGGAUGGCAACAACUCAUGUGCAACUUAAAUUUGCAGUUAUUUUGAUUGCCAAACAUACCAUACACAGAUUUCCAGUCUGCCAAGAUAGGUGUUUCUAUCAUUUGUAAGGUUAACUUUUAAUGCUAGAAAAUUUGCAAAUUCUUUUUUUUAAGUUGUCCUUUAAACAUUUGGUGAGACGACCCCCCCCCCAGAAUAAAUCUGUGCACUUUGCAAAUUACAAGUGUUCGUAAAUUUUUCUAUUCUGCAUUCACUCCCUGGUGAUUUAUUAAGAUGCUUGCAAUUUUGUUUUACAUAUAUGUACGCAAGGUGUAAAUAAUGACAACUGCUAGUUGGAUAAGGACACACUGGACGUAUCCAAAUUAAAUAUUUAAACCUUCGUUGAAUAGCGGGAAAGAAUCUAGGUAUUUCUUGCCUAAUAAUAAACUAAACUAAUUCGCAAAGUUAUGAAGUAAUGCACGUGUAUAUUGUACACCUCAAUUUAUAUCCUAACCUCAAGAUUACCAAUUCAUUGAAAUCCUAUUAAUUAUAAAUAGUCUUCCUUAUCCUACAGAGGAUGAUUAGGUGUUUGGACAUCUGAUAUGCCAGGUGUUUGAUUUGAUGCAUGGAGCGUGAUAGUCUUCAGUCCAAGGCAAUACCAAGUAGCAUGCUUUAUAUUAUCAUUCUAGCAUUCCACCAUUCCCAUACAUGUAGUUCUUCAGCGUUAUUCCAAAUUGUUGCUGUUAGGAUGGUGAUAUCAAAGGGGCGGAGUGAUGUCAUGGCUUAUAAAUAUUUUGGGAUUGACAAAAUUACACUGAAGUGCAUGCAUGACUGACGGACCAUCUAUAAAUCUGUCAGUAACUCUCAAAACGUUUUUGGAUUUCAAAUGCAGACAGAAUUUUUAUACGCCUGUGCUGUCGGAACUUAUACGUAUGUAUUUUGGCUCUGGGUAUUAGUUAACAUGUCAUCUGGACUGCUUCUGUGUAUAAUCUCUUCUGAUAACAAAACACUGGAACACCUUUUGGUGGUGUCAGAUGAAAAAAUACUUUCUACUUUGCAGACAGUGCGAGAUUCGAGUAAGUCUUCUUUAGUUUUUAUAGGACAUAAGACUUCUCAGUUUUCACCCUGUUGUGGGUGGAAGAUUAUGCCCCAUAACAGGUUCAGAUCUUCCCACUGCACCAGGGCACAAGAGGAUCUACUGCUUCAAGAACCACAGGGCAAUGUAACAGCAGCAACAGGAAUGUAUUUAGGCUAUCCUUGGUGACUGACGGAGGACUAUUAAAUUGAGAAGGAACUUGCACUAACUGAGCAAAGACGAGGUUGAAGGUUGUUUUUUCUUCUGUUUUGGAUUCAUUCAACUACUUGGGACACGGAGAAAUGUUGAGAAACUUCAAAGCAAGUUGAGGGAGAGUAGCAUUGUUAAUUUAAGCAAAAUGUAUGCUCACUUUAAUAUAGAACUUAACUGGGGAGCACUUAACUUGAUCAAGGCAUUGACUAGGCCGUGUCUGUGUAUUCACUUUUACAGCUUAGAAUUACACUGGCAUAGUGACAGAGUUGCAAGAGAAUACAAGAGUGGCUGUCCAACAGGAUGGAGUUGACAGAGAGCUGCGGUUCUCAAUAGUGGUUUCGAUCAUUAAAACA